The submitters of this non-coding RNA (93 nucleotides) gave its source as unclassified sequences. The record is from Rfam.
GAAACCUCAUCUUGCUCACGCGCCAUCCGGGCGCUAAGAGCGGUGUUUUUCCUGAGGGAAAGCAUAGGCACUCCGCCUGGAUGAGGAGAGAGU